UACUUUUUCAGCCAAGUGACUGGCUAAUUUCAAAUACAAAAGAAGAUCUAAGCUGAGUAGAAACCCAGCAAGACCAUGGAAAAUUAAUGCUGAGACCCCUUAAUAAACAGGGAACAAUGUCAAAGUACCGUUAUUUCUCUAAGUAGGUUAAGAAGGUUUUGAGCAUCUAUUUUGUGCUGAUUUGAACACUGGGGCUAUAAAAAUGACAAAAAUACAGAGAUUGUCAACAUGCCACAAAAUAGAAAGAACAAGAGUGUGAGCAGAUAGAGAACCAAUUAUAACAUAAUAUGGGAUCCUUUUUCAGAUCCAGAAACAUUAAAUUAGACGGUACAAAAAUCCAUCCGGGAAACCCCAUAUGGCUCCAGUCACCAGCCAGCCCAUCACUCAUUUUGUAGUUUACAUGGUAGGGUGCCUGAACGCACCUAUAAACGGUGGGCUGAAUCCAGCAGACGUGGAAGAGAUGAAAGGACAAGGGAUGGAACACAGACAGCAGCGACUUCUGACAGAUGUUAAUAAUACAGGACGCUAUGAGGCAGACAUAAAGAGAUAUGAUUGUCCUUUUGGAAGCAUGAAAUGAAAGAAAGAUGAAGGGCCAUCUCUUUUUUUUUUUUUUUCCAAACCUACCAGACCCCAACUUUUCUUGUUUACAGAAAACCUGUGUGUGCCUUUUGGAUAAAUGUAGUUUAUAGGGAAAGAUUAUUGUGUACAUGGAAACCAUUAUGAAGAAAGUCACUGAUUUAAGAACAACAGAUGCAUGUUUACUUACCAACAUUUCAAUAAUAAAUUCCAUUUUAGCCCAAGAGGUUGAUGGGGAAAGGCAGUGGCUUAAAAGCUAAGGGUAGCUUGAAAGAGAAAAAUGGAAUCUCGUGAUCCGACCAAGCAGGGGCCUCCAGCGCAAAACAGAUUCACACGGGGGCCGAUCCCACAGGAACAAAGCUCCCUCCACAACCCGGCUCAGUGACUGGCCUGGCAUCAAUCCCACCACCAAACUAUUCUCAACCAAGAAGACUAGGGAUCUCCAACAGGAACUCUAAUAUGUGAGAGCAUUUUGAACUAAAGUCUUAAGUGUGUUAGACAGUAUUUUUCUCCAUCCUUGUAGAAUUCCUUUCUUGAGAACCUUGCUGCUGUUUAUGCCAGAGCAGACCUGGCGGGGAGCUUGCACCUGCCACAGCAUUUGCUUGUAUCUUCUGCACACCUGAGGUAGCCUCGACACAGACCACAAGGUUUGGGGGCUUUCCCGUCCUUCAUUUGCCCUGGAUCUCAGGAGACAUUACAGUGAAGUGGCUCUAGGGGGAGAGAUAGAGGAGAGAAAGACAGUAAAAGAGAGGAAGAGAAGAAAGAUACUGUUACUGGUGCCUAAAUAGCUUUUGGGGAAAAAUAGUUGCUAUAUAAGACAUAAUAAGGUAUAGCAGUAUUUUGAGAAGUUUUCUGUAUUAACGUAAUAAAUCUUUGGUUGGAAUGCUUACACUAGGGUUUGCCAGUUAACCUUUUUGUCUGUUCAUAUAAUUGAUACCUGUUUGUGUAUAGAACUAUUGAAUAUAUCAUUAUUUGUAAAUCUGCUUAAAUGUCCAGCUCAGCACAUUGCAUAUAUACGAACAUAAGUGUUCAAAGACAU
This 1615-nucleotide long non-coding RNA is filed under the name Pan paniscus (pygmy chimpanzee). RNAcentral's name for it is "lncRNA (ENSPPAG00000044972.1)". The record is from RNAcentral. Lineage: Eukaryota; Metazoa; Chordata; Mammalia; Primates; Hominidae.